UACGGAGGGUGCGAGCGUUAUCCGGAAUUACUGGGUUUAAAGGGUGCGUAGGCGGCUUAGUAAGUCAGGGGUGAAAGUUCUGGGCUAAACCGAGGAAUUGCCUUUGAUACUGCUGAGCUUGAAUCAGGAUGAGGUAGGCGGAAUGUGGCAUGUAGCGGUGAAAUGCAUAGAUAUGCCAUAGAACACCGAUUGCGAAGGCAGCUUACUGGACCUUGAUUGACGCUGAGGCACGAAAGCGUGGGGAGCGAACAGG
RNAcentral lists this ribosomal RNA (253 nucleotides) under uncultured bacterium. RNAcentral describes it as "partial 16S ribosomal RNA". It matches the Rfam family "Bacterial small subunit ribosomal RNA", at positions 524 to 776 of the family's 1533-position model. The record is from RNAcentral.